UUCCUUUUGUGUGGUGCGAGACUAUAAAUAGGUUGCUUCCCCUUCCUUCUCUGUGGCCAUCUCUCGCGUUUGCAUCUCAUCAAGGCACCACCGACAAAUUCAGAAACUACACAGAUCUAGCAGCUUGGCUAGCAUAGCUGUGGCGGCUGCACUCGCACUAGCUAGCUAGCGUUGUCCUGGUAGUUUAUCAAUAGAUUGAUGGCCACUUCUUAAAAAAAGAACUUUCUUAGUAGCCUGUGAUUUUUCGACUGAUGGUCAUGCUCAGGUUCAGAGAUAUGUUUACGAAUCACAGGAGUAGGAGCAAUGUUUGCAGGGUAAGUUGAGCGACUUCUUUGUUCCCUUCCUUUAAAAACGUUCAGUUUUAUGUUGUUAGUUGAUUCAAGGGCUUACUUUUUCAAGUGUCUAUGCAAAAUGGAUAGUUGGAUCACUCUAACUGCUAAAGAAGACGGAUUAAAAGGGUUUGGUCUACGUGAUAGAGCUCGGCUAUUGAAGAAUUCGUAACCAAGCCAGAUAAAUUAAUCAUGGAAAUUUGGAUAGGGGAAAAUUUCAAAUUUAUAUAAUUGUGAAAAGCCAUUGUUACUAUUCUGACAUCCUGAUCAUCUACAUUUUCGCCUGAAGGUUAAGAGGAUGGAAGUAUUCAUUUCUGUAGUAUGUUUCUUAGUUUUGUUUAUUUUAGAUGCAUCAUUCUUUUGCACAUCAGCUUAACUAAAAGUUAGAACUUUAGUUUUCUUUCAAAAAAUACAUAAUCGGCCUUAGGGUUGACUGAAUGUUAGAACUUCACUUUUAUCUGAAAAAAGUACAUAAUCAGCAUUAGGGUUCAGGGAACUGCUUUGUUUUUCUAGAACCAGACCAACACUGCCUUUAACAAGUUUCAGAGUCUAGCAUGUAAAGUUUUAUGUACUGUACAUUAGAUUUGAAUUAUUUGACAAGAAGAAACUCCAUGAGAAACAAAUAUCAUGCAAAAGCUCUUCUUUUGUGUUUUCUUACCCAGAUAGAAACCUGUCCAAAUCUGUUUUCUUUAGGCCUUCCAGUGCCAUUAUUAAGAACAUCACACCUAUAAGCUUCUGCUUUUACACAAGCCUUUCCUCCUGUAUUCACUAAAGCAUAGAAUGAUAUAUUUUUUAUAGUUGAUUCAGAUUAUCUAGAUGCGCCAAAGAAGUGAUAUGCUUUUUUUUAGCAAAAAACGGACCAAUCGGGUGCUGCCACGCCAAUUAGUGGUGCGGUUACGAUUCUGGGUGUGCCUACCGAUUAUUGGUGGUUGUGUUGGACAUUCCUUUUGCCUUGCCUGCGAUUCGCUUUUGUAGAGCGCCGGGGUUGCAUGCAGAUCCCAAGUUUUGCGCCAUGCAAAUCACGAUUUGACUACGUGCAUGUCUUUCUUUUCUUAUUCUUUUUUCUUUGAUUUGCUUCGAUCUGCUCAGGCGGUUGUAGCGUUGGCUGAUUGAGUUGUUGACAUGUGAUUUAUCCGGUCUAACGUGUCGUUUUGAUCUUCCACGCGGGGUGUUCUGGAGUGGCAAAGCAUAGGGAGAACGAUUCAGUUCGUCAUUCUGCUUCUUUUUUUUUUGCGGGGAAGUCUGCUUCUGAUUAGUACAUGGCAACUUUAUGCACGACGCUGUCGCCGGCGAGGAGCACGUGAGACGACGCAUCCCCAUGCGCUGCAAGCUAUGGCUCGCGACUCCAUGGUCGAAGCAAGCUAUCGCCCACAACGUGUAAAAACACAAAGCUAUGUUCUCCAAUGACUGACAAACCUAAUUAUACAUCAACGAUUCUCGAACGCUCAAGCAAAGAAAUGAUAUCCAAAUUAGCAACCAAUCAAACAGUCAAAAAAGUUGGUGGUUCAAGUUGUAUGGAGCAAUUCCAGUCAAAACUCAUUAUUUUCAAGAUUUAUAUUCUAACUCAUCUUUCACCAAUUCUGUAUACUUGCUAAACAGUAUGGUUUAACCCCCUUCUCAUAUUUGUUGUAUGUGGGCACCAACACUAAACAAUAUGGGUUUACCCCUUCUCGUAUUUACCCUCUUCUCAUAUUUGUUUUAUGCAGGCAUCAAGUUGCAGUGAAUUUGGAUGACACGCUAUUAACUUACAUAAUAAGAUUCUUAAGGGUGAAAAAAGGCCACUAGCUAUGUUUCUCUGUGCUGUAUAUCUGUUUUUUCUCUAAAUGUUAUAAGAUAAUGACCAGCCUAAAAGCUCAUUGAGGAAGGAAGUUAUCAUCGUAGCAUACCCUUUGUUUUAUAGAAUGGCGUGAUGUGAAUAAAUGAAACUUAUUAAAGAUGUAUUAACGUGUAUUUCUCUGUUUUGCAACAUGCAGCAUGCAUGAUACUAAUAAUAUAUCUCUUCAUAGUUUAUCUUCCUACGUUGGGUGUUCUCUUAUUUUAAACCAAUAACAUUUGUUGUAAAUAGUAAACAUAUUUCAUAUGGAUACAUCUUUAAUAAGUUUCAAUCGAGAGGCAGAAAAUCCUCAAGACAUGGUUGUACCUGGUAUUUCUACACCCUAACAACCGGUGUGUGGAAUGGAAGCGGUCAAGGCCAAGAUCAUCUAUUUAAAAUGGACUUGCAGUACUGAUCUAGUUCCAGUGGUUACAAUCAUUGGUUUAGGGUUGCUUACAAUCAUUUCAGAUG
Molecule: long non-coding RNA, 2613 nt
Filed under: Triticum aestivum (bread wheat)
Lineage: Eukaryota; Viridiplantae; Streptophyta; Magnoliopsida; Poales; Poaceae
Description: long non-coding RNA (TAES_LNC011207)
Source: RNAcentral